UAUUGCAUAAUGGGGGAAACCCUGAUGCAGCGACGCCGCGCGAGCGAUGAAGUAUUCCGGUAUGUAAAGCUCUAUCAGCAGGGAAGAAAAUGACGGUACCUGACUAAGAAGCCCCGGCUAACUACGUGCCAGCAGCCGCGGUAAUACGUAGGUGGCAAGCGUUAUCCGGAUUUACUGGGUGUAAAGGGAGCGUAGGCGGUAUAGCAAGUCAGAAGUGAGAGCCCGGGGCUCAACUCCGGGACUGCUUUUGAAACUGUUGAACUAGAUUGCAGGAGAGGUAAGUGGAAUUCCUAGUGUAGCGGUGAAAUGCGUAGAUAUUAGGAGGAACACCAGUGGCGAAGGCGGCUUACUGGACUGUAAAUGACGCUGAGGCUCGAAAGCGUGGGGAGCAAACAGG
This 397-nucleotide ribosomal RNA is filed under the name uncultured bacterium. Its description in RNAcentral is "bacterial SSU rRNA". It matches the Rfam family "Bacterial small subunit ribosomal RNA", at positions 362 to 776 of the family's 1533-position model. The record is from RNAcentral.